UCAUACAUCUGCCAACACACACACAUAUACGCAUCUCUCUCUUUCGGUCUAGGAAUUCCCAAACCACCGGAACUACCAAACCCUACUCACUUCACACUGUUCAAACAAACCCAACAAUGUCGAAAGACAUCAAUGAGGACUUGUUGGCGAUGAAAAAUUUCAGAGCGUCGGUUAUGGCAAUGGCAAGCGCUGACCCAAACAAACCCUUUACGGACGCCCGAAAAAGCCUCAUCGAUAAACUCAUUCGAGAGUUCUUCGACCACACUCGCACUCAUGACCAUCCAACCUACUCCGUGAUGAUACAUAAGGCGAUUGAGGAGUUGAAUGAGGAAGGUGGUUCUAGUGAAGUCAAUAUCGAAUUUUAUUGGAGAGGAGUAUAAUGAAUUGCCAUGGGCACAUUCUACAUUCUUGAAUCAUCAUCUGAGGAAACUUUCUUAGAGUGGUGAGAUUGAUUGGACUCUUCACAAUUCUUAUUUGCUUGCUGGUGCAAUCACGAAACAAAAAUCUAGCUCUAGCCUUGGCUCUAAGAGGAAGGAACCGAAGAGAAAGCCGAGCAAGAGAACUGGUGCAAUCAGAAUAUCAAUUGAAAGAACCAAGGGAAGUCAUUGAAGAACAAAAUCGAGUUGACAAACAAAAUCAUGAUGGUGAGAAGGGUGAUGGUAGGAAAUUAAAGGUACUGCCCGUUGAGUCUCUUGAGCCCAUUAUUGAAGAAGAAAAGAAAGAAUUAGGUCUGCAGCCACAACAGCAAUUAGGUCUUCCAGUAGCAGAAUUGGAUCAGCUAGAGCAGUUGACACAGGAGAAGCCACAACACAGGCAAUUGUGGCCUCGACCUCCCAAAGCUACAAGAAUGACCGAAUCAUUGCCCUCACAACAUCAGCAUGAGCAACCAGAGUGCCAAGCCCAAAUGUGGAUUCCCCAACCAAAACCUGAUAUGGCUACACUGUAGCCGCUACAGUAGUGUUGCCUUCAGCUAAUCAGCACCAACAGGAGGAGCAGCAAGUGCCAUCAUUGCAAGGCCAAGGGAAUGCUCCUAAUCGUCGAGGCUGGGGGAGGCCUAAGAAGCAGCAGGAACAACCAAAGCGUCGAGGGAGGCCUCCUAAGCCCAAACCAACUAGCAGUAUAGAUAUGAAGACUCAGUGAAGCAGCUGCAGCCCAAGUGUGGGUACUAAAGAUGGACUAAGGAAUUCAAGGACAGUAACUGUGGUAAGUGAAAUUUUGUACUUUUGACUAGCAUCAACACCAUAGUGGUUGGUUUAUGCAACAUAGUAUACUUCAACUGUGUUCUUGUCACUGGCAAUCGUGGCUUAGUUAAUUUGUUGCUGUUGUAUAUGAGUUGGUUUUGAUUCCUUUGUGUUUUUACCCAUUCUUCGAGUUAACCUCUGCGCACAAUAAAUGUCUAGAUGAUGUAUAUUUACAAGAACCAGAGUUAUUAAUAUGCAAAACUACUAAGCAGAUAUAUUACUAAUUAUUUUAAAAACUAUUAGAUUGAAAAUGAUAUGUAUUAGUUGUAGCACUAGUUGUAAGAAGCAAAAAUUCUCUUAUGAAGAUUUUCUUUUUCCUCUGUUAUUGUCGGAUUUAGAAUGAUGGAACAAUGCCAUAUCCAUGUUCUUGUCAUUAGUGUUGUAGACAGCAUCUGGUCCACUUUCAACUUCUACACUUGUUCUCUUUGCAGACCGGCCCUUGAUCCGGGGUCUGGUUUCUGUGUAGGCCUUCCUUUGAGGCAUACCUGAUUGUGUUCUCAAACUUCAUCGACGUCUUCUUCUCUCUGUAAUUUGAGGAGGGAUCUGAAUGGGAGUGUUCGUGAAAUGGUCAAUUGUUCCAAAUAUUCCAAAGAAUUGUAGGGAUGAGUCUUCUACAAACGUCAUGUCUGAUGGUAUUUGAUGCAAAGGAAGCAGAAGCCCACUCAACUAACUAAACUAUAGUUUGAAAAACAGGCAAGUUCCAAUGCAAUAGAUCUAAAAAGCAUCUUGAUUUCUUUCUGAUUGUGUAAAAAGAAUGAAGAUGGUGCAGAUCUGACAUCUAUGUAGUUCAGUGGUGAGUUAUUCCACAGUUAAAUGAUAUGGUAGUGAAUUUAUGUAUAUAAUAUAUAUAUACAUAUAUAUAUAAACACGAAAUCGACAUAUUGGUCACUGAGCCGAGCUCAAGUUUGCCCAAACAAUGUUGAGCUGAGCUUGAACGCCUGAGCAUGGCUUGAACAUCAUUAAGCUUAGCUCAUUUAGAGCCCUAGCGUUACAAGGGAAAGCUUGUCCUAUAUCAAAUCUGAAUAGGAAAGUAAAUAGCUAUAAAUGGGUUGGGUGUUAACCUACCUAACAAUUUAAGCUUUUGAGUCGGAUCGCGAAGUACCCGACUCGUUACACUUAGUUACUAGAAAAGAUAUGACCACUAAUGGAAGAGCUUGUAAAAUUAGGGUGGCAGUAAACUUAGAUGGUUUGAACACUUACAUCGAAGACCUACUAACAUGCAAGUCAAAAAUAAAAAAUAAAAAUAAAAAUAAAAGUGUAAUAGGAGAUAAGAAACGAAAAAGCCGUCCAAAAAUAAUUUAUGAAAAAAAAAAAAAAAAAUUUAGUAUAGUGUACAUUGCAUGUUGAUUGAUUUUUCGGUGGUGUCAUGUUGUGCAGAUGAUACAUGUAUCAUAAGGCGAUUGAGGAGUUGAAUGAGGAAGGUGGUUCUAGUGAAGAGUCAAUAUUGAAUUUUAUUAGAAAGGAGUAUAAUGAAUUGCCAAGGGCACAUUCUACAUUCUUGAAUCAUCAUCUUGGGAAGCUUUGUGUGAGUGGUGAGAUUGUUUUGACUCUCAGUAAUUCUUAUUUGCUUGCUGGUGCAAUUGUGAAACAAAAACCUGGCUCUAGCCGUGGCUCUAAGAGGAAGGAACUGAAGAGAAAACGGAGCAAGAAGCAGGGUAGGCCACGUAAAAAAGAAAAAAUUGAAGCAGAAUAUCAAUUGAAAGAACCAAUGGAAGUGAUUGAAGAACAUAAUCAAGCAUUAGAAGAUCAUACUGAAGUGGUUGAUAAACAAAAUCAAUAACAAAUUGGUGAGAUGUUGCUGGCCUGUGAUGAUGGUGGCUCUAAGAGGAAGGAAGUGAAGAGAAAAUGGAGCAAGAAGCGGGUAGGCCACGUAAAAAAGAACCAAUGGAAGUGAUUGAAGAACAGAAUCUAGCAUUAGAAGAUCGUACCAAAGUGGUUGAUAAACAAAAUCAAGAACAAAUUGGUGAGAUGUUGCUGGCCUGUGAUGAUGGUGGCUCUAAGAGGAAGGAAGUGAAGAGAAAACAAAGCAAGAAGCGUCACGUAAAAAAGAAGAAAUUGAAGCAGAAUAUCUAUUGAAAGAACCAAUGGAAGUGAUUGAAGAACAUAAUCAAGCAUUAGAAGAUCGUACUGAAGUGGUUGAUUUUUGGUGAGAUGUUGCUGGCCUGUGAUGAUGGUGGCUCUAAGAGGAAGGAAGUGAAGAGAAAACGGAGCAAGAAGCGGGGUAGGCCACGUAAAAAAAAUUGAAGCAGAAUAUCAAUUGAAAGAGCCAAUGGAAGUGAUUGAAGAACGAAUCAACCAUUAGAAGAUCGUAGAUAAACAAAAUCAAGAACAAAUUGGUGAGAUCUUGCUGGCCUGUGAUGAUAGUGAGAAGGGUGAUGGUAGUAAAUUAAACGUGCUGCGAGUCUCUUGAGCCUAUCAUGGAAGAAGAGAAGAGAGAAUUUUCAGAGGAGAAAGAGCAGCUGAUGAAGAAGAGUCAUGGAGAGGAAAGUUUUGAUAUCGUUGGUUUUCAGCCACAACAACAAUUAGAUCUUCCAAUUCCAGAAAAGUCUUCAGAACUAAAAUCCAUAGCAGAGAGUUGUACCCAGGAUCAACUGGAGCAGCGGAUGCAGGAGAAUUCACAGUGCAGGCAAUUAGGGCGUCGACUGAUGCAGGAGAAGCCACAAGUAUGCAGGAGGAGCGCAGGCAAUUACGGCCUCGACCUCCUGAAGCUGGAUCACUAGCAGCUACAAGUAUGACCGAAUCAUUGUCCUCAUAUCAGCAUGAGGAACAGCUGGACAUCUCACCAAUUUGUUCUUGAUUUUGUUUAUAAACCACUUCAGUACGAUCUUCUAAUGCUUGAUUUUGUUCUUCAAUCACUUCCAUUGGUUCUUUCAAUUGAUAUUCUGCUUCAAUUUCUUCUUUGUUACGUUGCCUACCCCGCUUCUUGCUCCGUUUUCUCCACUUCCUUCCUCUUAGAGCCACCAUCAUCAUCACAGGCCAGCAACAUCUCACCAAUUUGUUCUCUUCAGCACGAUCUUCUAAUGCUUGAUUCUGUUCUUCAAUAGCCUAAGAAGCAGCAGGAGCAACCGAAGUAGCAGGAGAAACCAUAUGAAACUCAGUGAAAGCAGCAACAGCCCGAGUGUUGGGACUUUGGAAGGUCGCUAAAGCUGGACCAAGGAAUUCAAGGACAAUAACUAUGGUAAAUGGAAUUUUGUACUUUUGACUUGCAUAAACAUCAUAGUGGUUGGUGUAUGCAACAUAGUAUACGUCUAGUAGAAGUAGAUUGUUGGGCUUCAACUGUGUUCUGUCACUGCCAA
Cornus florida is the source of this 4537-nucleotide long non-coding RNA. RefSeq lists it as uncharacterized. The record is from RefSeq and is a predicted model, not a curated record. The transcript is spliced from 2 exons. Lineage: Eukaryota; Viridiplantae; Streptophyta; Magnoliopsida; Cornales; Cornaceae.